UGUCGGGUCGUCUAAUGGCAGGACAGCGCCCUUUGGAGGCGUUUGUAGAGGUUCGACUCCUCUCCCGACAGCAA
RNAcentral lists this transfer RNA (74 nucleotides) under Bacteroidota bacterium. RNAcentral describes it as "Bacteroidetes bacterium tRNA-Gln". It matches the Rfam family "tRNA". Rfam says of the family: Transfer RNA (tRNA) molecules are approximately 80 nucleotides in length. Their secondary structure includes four short double-helical elements and three loops (D, anti-codon, and T loops). The record is from RNAcentral. Lineage: Bacteria; Pseudomonadati; Bacteroidota. RNAcentral also lists the same sequence under 1 other name.